Molecule: ribosomal RNA, 412 nt
Filed under: Acanthamoeba sp.
Lineage: Eukaryota; Discosea; Longamoebia; Acanthamoebidae
Description: SSU rRNA
Rfam family: Eukaryotic small subunit ribosomal RNA
Source: RNAcentral
UCUGCCACCGAAUACAUUAGCAUGGGAUAAUGGAAUAGGACCCUGUCCUCRAAUUUCAGUUGGUUUUGCACCGAGGACCAGGGUAAUGAUCAAUAGGGAUAGUUGGGGGCAUUAAUAUUUAAUUGUCAGAGGUGAAAUUCUUGGAUUUAUGAAAGAUUAACUUCUGCGAAAGCAUCUGCCAAGGAUGUUUUCAUUAAUCAAGAACGAAAGUUAGGGGAUCGAAGACGAUCAGAUACCGUCGUAGUCUUAACCAUAAACGAUGCCGACCAGCGAUUAGGAGACGUUGAAUACAAAACACCACCAUCGGUGCGGUCGUCCUUGGCACGUCAUUGGGCGCAAGCCCGUGGCGGGCGAGGGCGGUUUAGCCUGAUGGCAUCGGUGAAUGACUCCCCUAGCAGCUUGUGWKUUUUUU